This 253-nucleotide ribosomal RNA is filed under the name uncultured bacterium. RNAcentral describes it as "partial 16S ribosomal RNA". It matches the Rfam family "Bacterial small subunit ribosomal RNA", at positions 524 to 776 of the family's 1533-position model. The record is from RNAcentral.
UACGAAGGGUGCAAGCGUUGCUCGGAAUUAUUGGGCGUAAAGGGUAGGUAGGUGGUCUUGUUUGUCUGGGGUGAAAUCCUUGGGCUUAACCUAAGAAGUGCCUCAGAAACGGCAAGACUAGAGUACUGGAGAGGGUCGUGGAAUUCCCGGUGUAGCGGUGAAAUGCGUAGAGAUCGGGAGGAACACCAGAGGCGAAGGCGGCGACCUGGACAGUAACUGACACUCAACUACGAAAGCGUGGGGAGCAAACAGG